This 46-nucleotide non-coding RNA is filed under the name Schistosoma margrebowiei. Lineage: Eukaryota; Metazoa; Platyhelminthes; Trematoda; Strigeidida; Schistosomatidae. The record is from RNAcentral.
GCACUACUGAGGAGUCCCGCAAUAGGACGAGACGGCCGUCCAGUGC